This 223-nucleotide long non-coding RNA is filed under the name Elaeis guineensis (African oil palm). RNAcentral's name for it is "long non-coding RNA (EGUI_LNC034278)". Lineage: Eukaryota; Viridiplantae; Streptophyta; Magnoliopsida; Arecales; Arecaceae. The record is from RNAcentral.
AAAGACAAAAUAACAUAAAUGAGAAUAUCUAAAGUAUUAGAAUUUAUCGCGGGGUGUGAGAGGUGCAGAGAACCCUACGAGCUGGCUGCAUGAUUGCUCUCUCCUCGAGAGCUAUGUCCUCCACUGGCAUGGCUCUGACCUCUGAAAGACAUAAUGUAUAAUCUCUGAAAAUAAAAAUAAAUAGAUUCAUCAAAUUAAUUAUACAAUUAUGAAUGGUAAUGCA